Pipistrellus kuhlii (Kuhl's pipistrelle) is the source of this 1442-nucleotide long non-coding RNA. RefSeq lists it as uncharacterized. Lineage: Eukaryota; Metazoa; Chordata; Mammalia; Chiroptera; Vespertilionidae. The transcript has 2 exons. The record is from RefSeq and is a predicted model, not a curated record.
AUAUAGGAUUUAUUGAAAAUUCACAUUGGUACCUCUAUCUAUGUUCUCCUAUUUUCUCUUCAUUCUUCAAACUACUGCAAUUUUCCACCUGACCCCAUCACUCCACAAAAUUGUUUUUACCAAGGUUAAGUAUAACUAUUUUCAAGGUGUCUCUUCUGUAUUUCCUCUUGUGACCCAUGACUUCCCAUCCACAUUAAAAUUAUAACUUCUUCAACACUUCCUAUUUCUUUUAACAUAGUAUAAGUUUUACUUACUUUGUUUAUGUCUGUUUUUCCUGGUUAGAAGGUAAAAUCAGAGAGUAAAAGGAUUUUUCUCUGCAUUCCUAGAAUAUAGAAUCAAAGUGGAACAUCAUAAGAACUCAAUUUGUGUUGAAUGAAUGCACACUGAAUUGUCUUGGUCUUCUACAUUAGGCCAAGAGAUAUUUUGAAGCCUAGAAGGGUUGUUCUUAUCUCUGCAUUUGCCACAUAGCUCAGAGACUGAUCCAUAAGUGAAUUUAUGAGGAGUGCAUGGGGAGUUGCUAUGGCACCAUUUACCCAAUUUGGGUAAUUGCUCUGGAUAUUCCAAGGCCUGAAAAAGUAGUUUUUAAAUGCUUCACUGGAACCCUAGAUCUCCAUUGAAUUAAUAUUAGAAUUUUGCAAACAAUGGAGAUUUAAAUUGCCUAAAGACACUAUCAGUGGUCUGGAGAGAAAUAGAACUAAAAGGAGAUUAUCUAUCUAUCAUCUAUCAUCUAUCUAUCAUCUAUCACCUGGUUAUCUGGAGACUUAUUAUGAGGAAUUGGCUCAUGCAGUUAUGCAGGCAGAGAAGACCCACAAUCCUCUGUAAAUUGGAGACCCAGGGACACCAGUGAUGUAAUGCAAUCCAAGUUUGAAGCUCUGAGAACAGGGGAGCUGAAGAUGUAAUUCCCAGUCCCAGGGCAAAGAAGAUGGGAUGAGAAGUCCCAGUUCAAGCAAUGAGACAAGAAUAAAGGGAUAAAUUCUUCCUUUCUCAACUUUUGUUCUAUUUAGGCCACUAAUAGGUUGGAUGAUGCCCAAACACAUUAGGGAGGGCAACUUACUGGGUCUAUUAAUUCACAUACUGAUCUCCUUCAGAAAUACCCUCAACGUGUCCCCCCCCCCCCCCCCCCCCACACACAUAAACACACACUCAGAAAUGAUGUUUUAUUUGGGCACCGAGUGGCUACUCAAAUUGAUACAUAAAAUUAACCAUCACAUUGUUUAUCCCUUUAAUUUGUGUUAUUUAUUAGGAUUUUUUGAAAAUACUUUUGCUGCUCAAGUAAAUUUAAACCAAAGACAGGAAGGAAAGAAGUUUAGAGAUAAGGACAGGAGAUAACGUUCUCAACUUUGAGUGCACAUUUGAAUCAUUAGGGGAGUUUCUGUACUGAUACCAGACCUCACCCCCAGAAGUAUUGGUAAGGUCAAGAACGGAGCAUAAACAUUUUUUUU